RNAcentral lists this ribosomal RNA (904 nucleotides) under uncultured bacterium. Its description in RNAcentral is "bacterial SSU rRNA". It matches the Rfam family "Bacterial small subunit ribosomal RNA", at positions 61 to 970 of the family's 1533-position model. The record is from RNAcentral.
GUCGACGAGAACUAGUUCAUUCGUAAGAUUGAAUUAGGGACAGUGGCGAACGGGUGCGUAACACGUGAGAAACCUGCCCUGGAGAUCGGGAUAGCCCGAGGAAACUCGGAUUAAUACCGAAUAUGCUCACAGGACCGCAUGGUCCGGUGAGGAAAUGGUCCGCUGCUCCAGGAUGGUCUCGCGGCCUAUCAGCUAGUUGGUGAGGUAACGGCUCACCAAGGCUCCGACGGGUAGCUGGUCUGAGAGGACGAUCAGCCACACUGGGACUGAGACACGGCCCAGACUCCUACGGGAGGCAGCAGCAGGGAAUAUUGCACAAUGGGCGAAAGCCUGAUGCAGCGACGCCGCGUGCGGGAUGAAGGCCUUCGGGUUGUAAACCGCUUUCAGGAGGGACGAAAAUGACGGUACCUCCAGAAGAAGGCCCGGCCAACUACGUGCCAGCAGCCGCGGUAAUACGUAGGGGCCAAGCGUUGUCCGGAUUUAUUGGGCGUAAAGGGCUCGUAGGCGGUUUGACAAGUCGGUCGUGAAAGCCCGGGGCUCAACCCCGGGACGCCGGUCGAAACUGUCAUGACUAGGGUCCGGUAGAGGUGAGUGGAAUUCUCAGUGUAGCGGUGAAAUGCGCAGAUAUUGAGAGGAACACCAGUAGCGAAGGCGGCUCACUGGGCCGGUACCGACGCUGAGGAGCGAAAGCGUGGGGAGCAAACAGGAUUAGAUACCCUGGUAGUCCACGCCGUAAACGUUGAACACUAGGUGUGGCGAGUUAAUCCAUACUUGCCGUGCCGCAGCUAACGCAUUAAGUGUUCCGCCUGGGGAGUACGGCCGCAAGGCUAAAACUCAAAGGAAUUGACGGGGCCCCGCACAAGCGGCGGAGCAUGCGGCUUAAUUCGAUGCAACCCGAAGAACC